Molecule: ribosomal RNA, 465 nt
Filed under: uncultured bacterium
Lineage: Bacteria
Description: partial 16S ribosomal RNA
Rfam family: Bacterial small subunit ribosomal RNA
Source: RNAcentral
CCUACGGGUGGCAGCAGUAGGGAAUAUUGCUCAAUGGGGGAAACCCUGAAGCAGCAACGCCGCGUGGAGGAUGAAGGUUUUCGGAUUGUAAACCUCUGUCAGCAGGGAAGAACGGUCACUGUGCUAAUCAGCAGUGAAUUGACGGUACCUGCAAAGGAAGCACCGGCUAACUCCGUGCCAGCAGCCGCGGUAAUACGGAGGGUGCGAGCGUUAAUCGGAAUUACUGGGCGUAAAGCGCUCGUAGGCGGUAUGUCAAGUCAAGGGUGAAAUCCCCGCGCUCAACGUGGGAACUGCCUUUGAAACUGGCAAACUGGAGUGUGUGAGAGGAUAGUGGAAUUCCAGGGGUAGGAGUGAAAUCCGUAGAUAUCUGGAGGAACAUCAGUGGCGAAGGCGACUAUCUGGCACAUAACUGACGCUGAGGAGCGAAAGCGUGGGUAGCAAACAGGAUUAGAUACCCGAGUAGUC